UAUACUGGUUUAUACUGGUUUAUACUGGCAGUGCGCUCCGAAGAUUCAGGACCCGCUGGGAACGACUGUUGGGGUCACUGGUUUAUACUGGUUUGUACUGGUUUAUACUGGUUUAUACUGGUUUGUACUGGGGGAGCGCUCCCGAAGCCCCGGGACGCACUGGGAAUGAUUUAAGGCAUACUGGUUUGUACUGGUUUAUACUGGGAGGGCGCUCAGGACACUGCGGGCCCCACUGGGAACCAUUCUGGGUGGUUCCGCUCUUACUGGUUUGUACUGGUUUGUACUGGGAAGUGUUCCGGGGUUGCCACAUAGUGAUCCAUUGUUCCGCCCAUAGUGCCAAAUAGUGAGCCAAAGGGGCGGGGCCUGUGUUGGCCACGCCCCUUUCCCCACUGGCCACGCCCCUUCCUCCGAUGGCCACGCCCCUUUUACGCUCCGCCGGCACUGGGAGUUACUGGGAGUUACUGGGAGCUACUGGGAGCCCCCGAGGAGGUACUGGGAGCACUGGGAGGGCGAACUGGGCAAACUGGGAGCAUUGGGAAGGGGUUACUGGGCAAACUGGGAGCACUGGGGGGUUACUGGGAGCGCUGGGAGGGUGAACUGGGCAAACUGGGAGCACUGGGAGGGGCAAAUGGGGUAACUGGGAGCACUGGGGGGUUACUGGGAGCACUGGGAGGGGGUUACUGGGCAAACUGGGAGCACUGGGAGCACUGGGAGGGGGUUACUGGGCAAACUGGGCAAACUGGGAGCACUGGGAGGGGGUUACUGGGCAAACUGGGAGCACUGGGAGGGGGUUACUGGGCAAACUGGGAGCACUGGGAGCACUGGGAGGGGUUACUGGGCAUACUGGGAGCACUGGGAGGGGGUUACUGGGCAAACUGGGAGUACUGGGAGCACUGGGAGGGGGUUACUGGGCAUACUGGGAGCACUGGGAGGGGGUUACUGGGCAUACUGGGAGCACUGGGAGGGGGUUACUGGGCAAACUGGGAGUACUGGGAGCACUGGGAGGGGGUUACUGGGCAUACUGGGAGCACUGGGAGGGGGUUACUGGGCAAACUGGGAGCACUGGGAGGGGGUUACUGGGUAAACUGGGAGCACUGGGAGCAAUGGGAGGGGGUUACUGGUCAUACUGGGAGCACUGGGAGGGGUGACUGGGGCUGCCGGAAGCGGGAACUGGGAGCACUGGGAGCACUGGGAGGGGUCACUGGGCAAACUGGGAGCACUGGGAGGGGUUACUGGGCAAACUGGGAGCACUGGGAGGGGUCACUGGGCAAACUGGGAGCACUGGGAGCACUGGGAGCCAUACUGGGAAUACUGGGAGAGGGUUUGGGGUCAUACUGGGAGCACUGGUUUGUACUGGGAGAGGGUUUGGGCCAUACUGGUCCAUACUGGGAGCACUGGGAGCCAAACUGGGAAUACUGGGAGAGGGUUGGGGCCAUACUGGGAGCACUGGUUUGUACUGGGAGAGGGUUUGGGUCAUACUGGUCCAUACUGGGAGCACUGGGAGGGGUCACUGGUCCAUACUGGGAGCACUGGGAACCAUACUGGGAAUACUGGGAGCACUGGGAGGGGUCACUGGUUCAUACUGGGAACACUGGGAGCCAUACUGGGAUUACUGGUUUGUACUGGGAGCACUGGGAGGGGGUUUGGGGUCAAACUGGGAGCGGUUACUGGUCCAUACUGGGAGCGCUGGGAGCCAAACUGGGAAUACUGGGAGAGGGUUGGGGUCAUACUGGUCCAUACUGGGAGCACUGGGAGCCAAACUGGUCCAUACUGGGAGCACUGGGAGGGGUCACUGGUCCAUACUGGGAGCACUGGGAGCCAUACUGGUCCAUACUGGGAGCACUGGGAGCUGUACUGGGAAUACUGGUUUGUACUGGGAGCACUGGGAGGGGGUUUGGGGUCAAACUGGGAGCACUGGGAGCGGUUACUGGUCCAUACUGGGAGCACUGGGAGGGGUCACUGGACCAUACUGGGAGCACUGGGAGCCAUACUGGGAGCACUGGGAGAGGGUUUGGGUCAUACUGGUCCAUACUGGGAGCACUGGGAGCCAUACUGGGAGCACUGGGAGCCAUACUGGUCCAUACUGGGAGCACUGGGUGGGGUCACUGGUUUAUACUGGGAGCACUGGGAGCCAUACUGGGAAUACUGGUUUGUACUGGGAGCACUGGGAGGGGGUUUGGGGUCAAACUGGGAGCACUGGGAGCAGUUACUGGUUCAUACUGGGAGCACUGGGAGCGGUUACUGGUUCAUACUGGGAGCACUGGGAGCCAAACUGGUCCAUACUGGGAGCACUGGGAGGGGUCACUGGUCCAUACUGGGAGCACUGGGAGGGGUCACUGGUCCAUACUGGGAACACUGGGAUGGGGUUUGGGGUCAUACUGGGAGCACUGGUUUGUACUGGGAGAGGGUUUGGGCCAUACUGGUCCAUACUGGGAACACUGAGAGGGGUCACUGGUCCAUACUGGGAGCACUGGGAGCCAAACUGGUCCAUACUGGGAGCACUGGGAGCCAAACUGGUCCAUACUGGGAACACUGGGAUGGGGUUUGGGGCCAUACUGGGAGCACUGGUUUGUACUGGGAGAGGGUUUGGGCCAUACUGGUCCAUACUGGGAGCACUGGGAGGGGUUGUUGGGAUAUACUGGGAGAUUUUGUACUGGUCUGUACUGGUUUAUACUGGUUUAUACUGGUCUGUACUGGUGUGAACUGGUUUAUACUGGUCUAUACUGGUUUAUACUGGUUUAUACCAGUUCAUACUGGUCUGUACUGGUUUAUACUGGUUUAUACUGGUCCAUACUGGUUUAUACUGGUGUGAACUGGUUUAUACUGGUGUGAACUGGUUUAUACUGGUUUAUACUGGUCCAUACUGGUUUAUACCAGUUCAUACUGGUUUAUACUGGUCCAUACUGGUCCAUACUGGUCCAUACCGGUCCAUACUGGUUUAUACUGGUUCAUACUGGUCCGUACUGGUCCAUACUGGUCCAUACUGGUUUAUACUGGUCCAUACUGGUUUAAACUGGUCCAUACUGGUCCAUACUGGUUUAUACUGGUCCAUACUGGUCCAUACCAGUCCAUACUGGUUUAUACUGGUUCAUACUGGUCCGUACUGGUCCAUACUGGUCCAUACUGGUUUAUACCGGUCCAUACUGGUCCAUACUGGUUUAUCCUGGUCCAUACUGGUCCAUACUGGUUUAUACCGGUCCAUACUGGUCCAUACUGGUUUAUCCUGGUCCAUACUGGUCCAUACUGGUCCAUACUGGUUUAUACCAGCUCAUACUGGUCCAUACUGGUUUAUACUGGUCCAUACUGGUUUAUACUGGUUUAAACUGGUCCAUACUGGUCCAUACUGGUUUAUCCUGGUCCAUACUGGUCCAUACUGGUCCAUACUGGUCCGUACUGGUCCAUACUGGUCCAUACUGGUCCAUACUGGUUUAUACUGGUCCAUACUGGUCCAUACUGGUCCAUACUGGUUUAAACUGGUCCGUACUGGUCCCCCAGGCCAUGCCCGACCCCCGCCUGGACCGGGGCCGCUUUCCCUCCCUCCGCCUCACGGGGGCGCCGCGGGCCCCGCCCCCCUCGGGCCGCCGCGCGGGGCUGUGGCGCCGCCUGGCGGCCGCGGGCGGGAACUGCGGCUGCUGCGGCUGCUGCGGGCGGAGCGGCGGCGGCGGCGGAGAGUGGGAACCGAUCCCGGGAGAGACGCCGGGACGGAGAACGGCGCAGCCAGUGCGGCCAGGUAAGGGUUAAACACCGGGGGGAUUUUGGGGGGGCUCCGGUAACGGAGAGGUGCGGCCAUGUUU
Molecule: long non-coding RNA, 3794 nt
Filed under: Taeniopygia guttata (zebra finch)
Lineage: Eukaryota; Metazoa; Chordata; Aves; Passeriformes; Estrildidae
Description: lncRNA (ENSTGUG00000029238.1)
Source: RNAcentral